AAGAUUGCCCCCGAGGGGGCCUUGUUUUCCCGGCAAUCGAAUCCUUCGUGCUCUUCAUGCGCGGAUCGUGCAAUUCAAAAUCAGGGAGGAGAAGAACGAAGGGAAGGAUUGUCUUCCACCUCUGAAAUUAGGGGUUGAUUUUGUGGUGAGAACGAAGAAAGGAGUUCCAUCUCAGGUGCGAUCCUUCUUCUUUUUCUGGGAGAGACCGAACCGGUUCGAUCUCUCUCGGACAGUCAGAUCUCCCCACGGGAGGGGAGAUGGAGAGCAACGGGAUGAGUCUGGGGAGUUCGCUGAGGCACGAGAGGAGGUGGCGAUCCCACGCCAGAUCAUCGUCCUCCUCCUUUGGUUCCAGCAGAUCCCUCAUCGUCAUGGCCUUCUUCUCCUGCCUCGCCUCCCUCUACAUCGCCGGACGGUUAUGGCAGGACGCUGAGAACAGGAUGCUUUUGGUUAGCAUUCUUCAGAAGAGCAGCGACCAGGUCCCAAAGGUUCUUUCUGUAGAAGAUAAACUAGAGAACCUCGGAUGCAAAGAUCUGGCGAGAAGAAUUGUAGAAGUCGAGAUGGACUUGACGCUGGCAAGGAGUCAAGGGUACCUUAUGAAUAAGUUAGGGAAUGGAUCUUCAUCUGGCCGGAAGUACCUUGCCGUUAUAGGAAUUUUCACAGGCUUUGGGAGUCGCCUGAGCAGGAAAAGGAUUCGGAAUAGUUGGCUUCCAAAAGGUGAUGCCCUGAGAGAACUUACGGAAAAAGGUGUUAUCAUUCGUUUUGUGAUCGGAAGAAGUGCAAACCGUGGCGACAGCUUAGAUCGUAGUAUUGAUGAUGAGUCUCGUCAAACAAAGGAUUUCUUGAUUCUAGAAGGUCACGAGGAAGUUCAAGAAGAAUUGCCUAAGAAAGCCAAGUUCUUUUUCAGUUCAGCGGUUGAAAUGUGGGAUGCUGACUUCUAUGUUAAGCUCGAUGAGAAUGUUAACAUUGACCUGGAUGGACUCAUUGGGAUUCUUCAAAGUCAUCGUGGUCAAGAUGGUGCUUAUGUAGGGUGUAUGAAAUCUGGGCCAGUCGUUAGUGAAGAGGGAAAACCGUGGUAUGAGCCUAAUUGGUGGAAGUUUGGUGAUGGGAAAUCGUAUUUUCGUCAUGCAGCUGGGUCACUAUAUUUCCUUUCAAAAAACCUAGCUCGAUAUAUCAAUAUAAACAGUGCUUCACUGCAGACAUAUGCUCAUGAGGACAUUUCGGUGAGUUCAUGGAUUAUGGGCCUAACAGCAACUUUUGUUGAUGACACUCGUCUUUGCUGUAGCAGUUCAUCAAAAGAGAAGAUAUGCUCAUUGACUUGAAGAGUUCAUAUGGGCUCUUCAUGGUCUAGAAUGCAACUCCAUCUAUUCUCCAUUGUGUGAAUGCUCAUAUUGCUAACAUGAGCAUAUACAGCCGCUGACUGCUGAAAUCAGUUUUUUGCCAAGGAAAACCCAUUUUUCAAUGGGGUAGAAGGGAGCAACAUGGCGGAAAAUUCAAGAUAUAUUGAUCAGUUACCAGACUCAAAGUCCAUGGGCAGCCUUUUGGAAGAGUUGCUGAUCACCUGCCAAAAUUCCAACUUAUGAAUUUUGGGUAUGUAUUGGAAUUUUGAAAACUAUUGGCGAGCAAAACAAGGUGUAGGUGUUAGCCGACACGUUCGCACAUUUGCCAUCAUGAUGAAUGAAGAUGGAAAGACCUAAGAACGGAUGGUAGUGAAGACCUGGACUCGCACCAACCGGCUAAGGAUUGUCUUGCCUUCCUUUUUUGUCUAUUUUUUGAGCUGUGGGGACUUUGGUUUUCCUCAUCUUUUCAUCAUGCUACAAUGGAGGACACAGUGACAACACAGUAAAGUGUGACAAAAGGCUAUAGUGUAGCUGGUUAGGUUAGGGGUCUGUGAAGAAGGAGGUUUUUAGUUCGAUUCUAGUAAGUACUAUAUAUUUUUAAUGGUGGGACGUAGUAACUAAGUUGAAUGAUGCACCGCCUUGACUGGCCAAAAGAAAAAAAGAAGAAAGAGCAGACAGAAAGGAUUAUUGGCAGCACAUUUGCUUUCAGUCUCCGUGGGAGACUAUUACAUUGAAGGCCACUGAUAAUGUACUUUCUCAACAAUGCCUGGGGCAGGGCAUGAAAGUCCGGACACAAAUCUGUCACG
RNA transcript from Nymphaea colorata (pocket water lily), 2143 nucleotides. It is a transcript of the gene named hydroxyproline O-galactosyltransferase HPGT3, with no coding region annotated. The record is from RefSeq and is a predicted model, not a curated record. NCBI's taxonomy places the organism in Eukaryota, Viridiplantae, Streptophyta, Magnoliopsida, Nymphaeales, Nymphaeaceae. The transcript is spliced from 13 exons.